UUCGGGAAACCGGAGCUAAUACCGGAUAAUAUAUUGAACCGCAUGGUUCAAUAGUGAAAGACGGUUUUGCUGUCACUUAUAGAUGGAUCCGCGCCGCAUUAGCUAGUUGGUAAGGUAACGGCUUACCAUGGCGACGAUGCGUAGCCGACCUGAGAGGGUGAUCGGCCACACUGGAACUGAGACGCGGUCCAG
RNAcentral lists this ribosomal RNA (192 nucleotides) under uncultured Staphylococcus sp. RNAcentral's name for it is "partial 16S ribosomal RNA". It matches the Rfam family "Bacterial small subunit ribosomal RNA", at positions 148 to 334 of the family's 1533-position model. The record is from RNAcentral. Lineage: Bacteria; Bacillati; Bacillota; Bacilli; Caryophanales; Staphylococcaceae.